AAGAGACGUUGCCCUUCGGGUAUACCUCCCACCCUUUGUUUAUUAUACCUUUGUUGCUUGGCGGGCCCGUCCUCGGACCACCGGCUUCUGCUGGUCAGUGCCCGCCAGAGGACCUAAAACUCUGUUUGUUAAUAUUGUCUGAGUACUAUAUAAUAGUUA
This 159-nucleotide unclassified non-coding RNA is filed under the name soil metagenome. RNAcentral describes it as "partial internal transcribed spacer 1". The record is from RNAcentral.